UUGACCUCGGAUCAGGUAGGGAUACCCGCUGAACUUAAGCAUAUCAAUAAGCGGAGGAAAAGAAACCAACAGGGAUUGCCUUAGUAACGGCGAGUGAAGCGGCAACAGCUCAAAUUUGAAAUCUGUCUCUUUUAGAGUCCGAGUUGUAAUUUGUAGAGGAUGUUUCGGGCGUGGUCCGGUCUAAGUUCCUUGGAACAGGACGUCAUAGAGGGUGAGAAUCCCGUAUGCGACUGGGUGCCUAAGCUCAUGUGAAACUCCUUCGACGAGUCGAGUUGUUUGGGAAUGCAGCUCAAAAUGGGUGGUAAAUUUCAUCUAAAGCUAAAUAUUGGCCAGAGACCGAUAGCGCACAAGUAGAGUGAUCGAAAGAUGAAAAGCACCUUGGAAAGAGAGUUAAACAGUACGUGAAAUUGUUGAAAGGGAAGCGCUUGCAACCAGACUUGCAUUCAGUUGAUCAUCCGGCGUUUUCACCGGUGCACUCGAUUGUUUUCAGCCAGCAUCGGUUUUGGUGGUUGGAUAAAGGCCUUGGGAAUGUAGCUUCUUUCG
This 543-nucleotide ribosomal RNA is filed under the name salal root associated fungus UBCtra1011.13. RNAcentral's name for it is "eukaryotic LSU rRNA". It matches the Rfam family "Eukaryotic large subunit ribosomal RNA", at positions 1 to 548 of the family's 3401-position model. Lineage: Eukaryota; Fungi; Ascomycota. The record is from RNAcentral.